UGCCUGGUAGCGCAAUUGGUUAGCGCGUCUGACUGUUACCGUGCUGACAUCAGGAGGCUGUGAGUUCGAGUCUCACCCGGGCAG
Non-coding RNA from Cantharellus anzutake, 84 nucleotides. Lineage: Eukaryota; Fungi; Basidiomycota; Agaricomycetes; Cantharellales; Hydnaceae. The record is from the annotation of a RefSeq genome assembly.